This 425-nucleotide ribosomal RNA is filed under the name uncultured bacterium. RNAcentral describes it as "partial 16S ribosomal RNA". It matches the Rfam family "Bacterial small subunit ribosomal RNA", at positions 354 to 796 of the family's 1533-position model. The record is from RNAcentral.
GUGGGGAAUCUUAGACAAUGGGGGCAACCCUGAUCUAGCCAUGCCGCGUGAUCGAUGAAGGCCUUAGGGUUGUAAAGAUCUUUCAGCUGGGAAGAUAAUGACGGUACCAGCAGAAGAAGCCCCGGCUAACUCCGUGCCAGCAGCCGCGGUAAUACGGAGGGGGCUAGCGUUGUUCGGAAUUACUGGGCGUAAAGCGCACGUAGGCGGAUUGGAAAGUUGGGGGUGAAAUCCCGGGGCUCAACCCCGGAACUGCCUUCAAAACUCCCAGUCUUGAGGUCGAGAGAGGUGAGUGGAAUUCCGAGUGUAGAGGUGAAAUUCGUAGAUAUUCGGAAGAACACCAGUGGCGAAGGCGACUCACUGGCCCAAUACUGACGCUGAGGCGCGAAAGCGUGGGGAGCAAACAGGAUUAGAUACCCUAGUAGUCC